RNAcentral lists this ribosomal RNA (506 nucleotides) under uncultured bacterium. RNAcentral's name for it is "partial 16S ribosomal RNA". It matches the Rfam family "Bacterial small subunit ribosomal RNA", at positions 29 to 523 of the family's 1533-position model. The record is from RNAcentral.
AGUGAACGCUGGCGGUAGGCCUAACACAUGCAAGUCGAACGGCAGCACAGGAGAGCUUGCUCUCUGGGUGGCGAGUGGCGGACGGGUGAGGAAUGCAUCGGAAUCUACUCUGUCGUGGGGGAUAACGUAGGGAAACUUACGCUAAUACCGCAUACGACCUACGGGUGAAAGCAGGGGACCUUCGGGCCUUGCGCGAUUGAAUGAGCCGAUGUCGGAUUAGCUGGUUGGCGGGGUAAAGGCCCACCAAGGCGACGAUCCCGAGCUGUGCUGCAUGGAGGAUCGGCAAAGCUGGAGCUGGGAAACGGUCCAGACUCCUACGGGAGACAGCAGUGGGGAAUAUUGGGCAAUGGGCGCAAGCCUGAUCCAGACAUACCGCGUGGGUGAAGAAGGCCUUCGGGUUGUAAAGCCCUUUUGUCGGGAAGGAAAUCCAGCUGGCUAAUACCCGGUUGGGAUGACGGUACCCAAAGAAUAAGCACCGGCUAACUUCGUGCCAGCCGCCGCCGUAA